Molecule: transfer RNA, 83 nt
Filed under: compost metagenome
Description: tRNA-Leu
Rfam family: tRNA
About the family: Transfer RNA (tRNA) molecules are approximately 80 nucleotides in length. Their secondary structure includes four short double-helical elements and three loops (D, anti-codon, and T loops). Further hydrogen bonds mediate the characteristic L-shaped molecular structure. tRNAs have two regions of fundamental functional importance: the anti-codon, which is responsible for specific mRNA codon recognition, and the 3' end, to which the tRNAs corresponding amino acid is attached (by aminoacyl-tRNA synthetases). tRNAs cope with the degeneracy of the genetic code in two manners: having more than one tRNA (with a specific anti-codon) for a particular amino acid; and 'wobble' base-pairing, i.e. permitting non-standard base-pairing at the 3rd anti-codon position.
Source: RNAcentral
GCGAGAGUGGCGGAACUGGUAGACGCGCUAGACUUAGGAUCUAGUGGGGCGACCCGUGGGGGUUCGAGUCCCCCCUCUCGCAC